This 2726-nucleotide long non-coding RNA is filed under the name Nicotiana tabacum (common tobacco). RNAcentral describes it as "long non-coding RNA (NTAB_LNC003751)". Lineage: Eukaryota; Viridiplantae; Streptophyta; Magnoliopsida; Solanales; Solanaceae. The record is from RNAcentral.
UUUGUUCCAUAACUCUUUCAUCCAUCCCAAAAUAUGAUCGCGAUGGAUAUCCAUGUCAACACUCUCAAAUUGAUCCUGCAAUACAUCAAGCAUAGAUUGAUAUCCAAUAUAAAAAUAAUAGACUCCAGGUACUUGGACAUUCUGUUUUUUGUACACUGCUACAGAGAAAGCAACAAGGUAGCUGAUUAUUUGGCAAAUAGGACAGUGAAAGAUGAACAUGAUCAUACAUUAUGCAAAUUAAAGUAAAAUGACGCAUGUUGCUGGAACUUGCUGAACUACAAGGAAAACAUAGAGAAAAAACCUAGUAGUAAUCUUUUUUUUUUAAAGAACACAAAUAAAUAAAGAGCCCCUAGACUUCGCAGCGACAUGUUCAGCAGCCACACAAAACUAAGAAAAGAAACAGAGCACCAUCAUACUGAAUUUCACAUUGAUUCGCGUUAUUGAUGCAUAUCGCAGGAUUAAGGUAGAACUGUUGUUGAUUUCAGCCGAAAGAAGAGUCUGUGAAUCACUUAGAACUCCACCCUCUUCAUUCGAAAACUUCUGUUUCUUAAAAGGAAUCCCCUGGUGCACUAGCAGCAGCAACAACAUCAACAACUAGUGCACCAGUUGUAGCUACAUCAGCAGAACAGACAAUAUGUAGAUUCAAACAGUACCAGUUACCCUGCUUCUCUUUGGGAUACUGGACACCAUCUUCACAGUGUGGGGUCACAAAACUAGAAGCCAUGACUGGGAGACACUCAGCUACUAGAGCCACACCAAUCAGGAUUUAAACGAACCUGGUUUUUUUCUUUUUGCAGGAACAGGGAUCAUACUCAGAGUCCCAAAGAGAAAUACGAAAAGUAGGAGCACCUUUCCAGCAGGGUGAAUCUUCAUUUGAGUUAUGAAGAUCUAAAGCAUCUGAACAUUUCUCAGUAAAAGUCACAGGUGGUGCACUACCGUAAGGAGCUUGAGAUCCUACCAAAGUUCAGCAGGCUUGUUUCCAAGGAAACCCUUUGACCGGAAUGCAACUGAGGUAACAUUACUUGUUAUUACACUUGUCAGAAUCAUCUUUAUGACUAAACUUCUUACGAUUUUACAAGAAUAAAAUAAACUACAAGUUGAUAUGCAUAAUAUAUAACUCACAAUUGCUCAACAAAAUGAGAAAUUAAAACACAUAAGACACUCUAAAAUUAAAUCACUAAUUUUUUAUCUUGUCUUCCUUAAAUAAAAAAAAAUGAUACAAUAACUAUCAUUCUAUGCUUUUGAUAUUAUAUAAUAAACAAUAGAACCUAAAAGAAAACCUAAAAGGUCAAUUAGUAAGAGAGAUUUCGAAAUAUAGAACCCGAAUUUUUGACUCUCCAUAUAUAGAAUUCUAAGUUGCAGAAAACAAAUAAAGAAACAAAAAACUGAAGAACCCUAGCUAUAGGAAGUUAAUAGCGACUAAUCAACUGUGCUUUCUGAAAAUUUAUUAGAAGAACAAUGUAUGUAUAGCAGCUCCUGGAUUUGAAUUACAGAGGAGAUCUGACUCAUCUCCCAUGUGAAUUCUUGAUCACUUGCUUCAAUUUAUUCAGAAAGUGGGGGCUCUUUUUUUUGUAUUUAAAAAUACUUGCAUUUUCUUCUUAACAUAAUUCAGAACUAAAAAGGAAAGAAAAAUAGAUUAAUGGAAUUCAAUGAAAGAUGUAUCAUCAAUUAAAUAAAAAAUUAUUUAAUUAGUCAGAGAAUCCACUGCAAACUUGGAGUCUCGUCCACGAUAAUGUUACUUUGUUCUUCAACUGGACAAAGAUUUCUCGAAUAGGCCAAACUUAAUUUUCUCAGAACUUCAAGCAAACAAAUUUCCAUAAAACUCAACAUUCUAAUUAGCAAAUUCCUAUAUUCUCCACUUAUAUAAAGAUAUGAUUGUGACAUGUUUGUACUUUCUUGCUAUGAAAACACUAACUGAGCAAAAGCACGAUAAAAAGGUUCAACAAAGUCAACAUUCUGCCAAAAAGUUUACUAUUCAGCUGACAUCUUAUAUGUUUUUCUUCAUGAUAGAAAAAGAUAUCUUACUGAAAUCAGAUAAUCUUUGAGUUAAAAGAGGUCCUUUUAUUCACAAAAUGCAGUUUCAUUAACUUACGGUGCAAUUAUUGAAGAUCCUUCUAAUGCUUUUGAUAUUGUAGUACUACUUAAACUAUAAAAUUAUUUCCAUAAACACUUAAAUUGAUCGUCUUUUUCCGUUUCUUUCCACCCACCGAACUAAAACAAUUAGUAAAGUAAAUAAAACAAAACCAAAUAAACAGAACAGAUUUCUGAUUCAAUGGGGGAAAAAGCACGAAGAAGAAAUUUAAAGAAACAGAACAGAUCAAAGAGAAAGAAAUUAAACUUACUCUUGUUUAGGCGGAUAAUCCAAUAGUAUAAUUUGUGUAAAGUACUUUAGAUUAAGGCCUCCAAAGAAGAAAUUAAACAGAGUAUGUUCUGAAUAGAGCUCUCAACGAUGACGACAAAGUGGCGCCUCACUCUUUGCAACCUUUCUGAGUUUUUUACCUUCAGAAUUUUGAAGGAGUUAGCGGCCGUCUCUAGGGAUUUUAGCUUCGUCGUCUCGCUCUUUGCAACCUUUCUGAGUUUAAUUUUUUACCUUCUGAAUUUUAGCUUCGCCAUCUCUAGGGAUUUUAGGUACGAUCGAAUUUUACCUUCUGAAUUUUGAAGGAUCUAUUAGUUAGCGGCCACGUCUCUAGGGGUUUUAAGCUGAAAGUACGUGUAUCUGAGAGAUU